Molecule: transfer RNA, 74 nt
Filed under: Pseudomonas phage OBP
Lineage: Duplodnaviria; Heunggongvirae; Uroviricota; Caudoviricetes; Chimalliviridae
Rfam family: tRNA
About the family: Transfer RNA (tRNA) molecules are approximately 80 nucleotides in length. Their secondary structure includes four short double-helical elements and three loops (D, anti-codon, and T loops).
Source: Rfam by way of RNAcentral
GGCCCCGUAGCUCAGACGGUUAGAGCAGGUGACUCAUAAUCGCUUGGUCGCGUGUUCAAGUCACGCCGGGGCCA